UUCGGGCGCCGGCGAGUGGCGAACGGGUGAGUAACACGUGGAGACCUAUCCAUUGGUGGGGGACAACAGCUGGAAACGGCUGCUAAUACCGCAUAAUCCCUACGGGGGAAAGAUUUAUCGCCAUAGGAGGGUUCCGCGUCGGAUUAGCUAGUUGGUGGGGUAACGGCCUACCAAGGCAACGAUCCGUAGCUGGUCUUAGAGGAUGAUCAGCCACACUGGGACUGAGACACGGCCCAGACUCCUACGGGAGGCAGCAGUGGGGAAUAUUGCGCAAUGGAGGAAACUCUGACGCAGCGAUGCCGCGUGGGUGAAGAAGGCCUUAGGGUUGUAAAGCCCUUUCAGUGGGAACGAUGGUGACGGUACCCACAGAAGAAGCCCCGGCUAACUCCGUGCCAGCAGCCGCGGUAAUACGGAGGGGGCGAGCGUUGUUCGGAAUUAUUGGGCGUAAAGCGCGCGUAGGCGGUUUAUUAAG
This 472-nucleotide ribosomal RNA is filed under the name uncultured Magnetococcus sp. RNAcentral's name for it is "bacterial SSU rRNA". It matches the Rfam family "Bacterial small subunit ribosomal RNA", at positions 79 to 587 of the family's 1533-position model. The record is from RNAcentral. Lineage: Bacteria; Pseudomonadati; Pseudomonadota; Magnetococcia; Magnetococcales; Magnetococcaceae.